UUGUGCUUUUAGAAGCAUUCCGGC
RNAcentral lists this microRNA (24 nucleotides) under Vriesea carinata. Its description in RNAcentral is "vca-miR10203-5p". Lineage: Eukaryota; Viridiplantae; Streptophyta; Magnoliopsida; Poales; Bromeliaceae. The record is from miRBase by way of RNAcentral.